AGAGUUUGAUCCUGGCUCAGGACGAACGCUGGCGGCGUGCUUAACACAUGCAAGUCGAACGGAAAGGCCCUUCGGGGUACUCGAGUGGCGAACGGGUGAGUAACACGUGGGUGAUCUGCCCUGCACUUUGGGAUAAGCCUGGGAAACUGGGUCUAAUACCGAAUAUGACCACGCUCUUCAUGGGGUGUGGUGGAAAGCUUUUGCGGUGUGGGAUGGGCCCGCGGCCUAUCAGCUUGUUGGUGGGGUAAUGGCCUACCAAGGCGACGACGGGUAGCCGGCCUGAGAGGGUGACCGGCCACACUGGGACUGAGAUACGGCCCAGACUCCUACGGGAGGCAGCAG
Molecule: ribosomal RNA, 342 nt
Filed under: uncultured Mycobacterium sp.
Lineage: Bacteria; Bacillati; Actinomycetota; Actinomycetes; Mycobacteriales; Mycobacteriaceae
Description: bacterial SSU rRNA
Rfam family: Bacterial small subunit ribosomal RNA
Source: RNAcentral